CCUACGGGUUGCAGCAGUGGGGAAUAUUGCACAAUGGGCGCAAGCCUGAUGCAGCCAUGCCGCGUGUAUGAAGAAGGCCUUAGGGUUGUAAAGUACUUUCAGUUGGGAGGAAGGCGUUGAUGCUAAUAUCAUCAACGAUUGACGUUACCAACAGAAGAAGCACCGGCAACUCCGUGCCAGCAGCCGCGGUAAUACGGAGGGUGCAAGCGUUAAUCGGAAUUACUGGGCGUAAAGCGCACGCAGGCGGUUGAUUAAGUUAGAUGUGAAAUCCCCGGGCUUAACCUGGGAAUGGCAUCUAAGACUGGUCAGCUAGAGUCUUGUAGAGGGGGGGUAGAAUUCCAUGUGUAGCGGUGAAAUGCGUAGAGAUGUGGAGGAAUACCGGUGGCGAAGGCGGCCCCCUGGACAAAGACUGACGCUCAGGUGCGAAAGCGUGGGGAGCAAACAGGAUUAGAUACCCGUGUAGUC
Molecule: ribosomal RNA, 465 nt
Filed under: uncultured bacterium
Lineage: Bacteria
Description: bacterial SSU rRNA
Rfam family: Bacterial small subunit ribosomal RNA
Source: RNAcentral